GAGUUUGAUCGUGGCUCAGGAUGAACGCUGGCGGCGUGCCUAAUACAUGCAAGUCGAGCGAACGGACGAGAAGCUUGCUUCUCUGAUGUUAGCGGCGGACGGGUGAGUAACACGUGGAUAACCUACCUAUAAGACUGGGAUAACUUCGGGAAACCGGAGCUAAUACCGGAUGAUAUUUUGAACCGCAUGGUUCAAAAGUGAAAGACGGUCUUGCUGUCACUUAUAGAUGGAUCCGCGCUGCAUUAGCUAGUUGGUAAGGUAACGGCUCACCAAGGCAACGAUGCAUAGCCGACCUGAGAGGGUGAUCGGCCACACUGGAACUGAGACACGGUCCAGACUCCUACGGGAGGCAGCAGUAGGGAAUCUUCCGCAAUGGGCGAAAGCCUGACGGAGCAACGCCGCGUGAGUGAUGAAGGUCUUCGGAUCGUAAAACUCUGUUAUUAGGGAAGAACAUAUGUGUAAGUAACUGUGCACAUCUUGACGGUACCUAAUCAGAAAGCCACGGCU
RNAcentral lists this ribosomal RNA (507 nucleotides) under uncultured microorganism. Its description in RNAcentral is "bacterial SSU rRNA". It matches the Rfam family "Bacterial small subunit ribosomal RNA", at positions 9 to 498 of the family's 1533-position model. The record is from RNAcentral.